Malus domestica (apple) is the source of this 3885-nucleotide non-coding RNA. Lineage: Eukaryota; Viridiplantae; Streptophyta; Magnoliopsida; Rosales; Rosaceae. The record is from RefSeq and is a predicted model, not a curated record.
GUUUGAUUAGGGUUUUGGGGAUGGAGGGUCUGCGAGAGAGAGAGAGAUGGCGAUGGAAGGAGAGCGAGGGGGAUGGGUAGGUCUCGGCACUGUUGCUGCAGAUGGCUUUCACAAGUGGGAGAGUCGGUAUGGUCAGAGAAGACCCGUAGGGUUUGGGACGGAUUGGGAUGGGUUACGUGGAGUGAUGCUGCCAAAAAAGCAUGGGUUGCAGAGAGAGGGAGGGGAAGGGAGAGAGAGGAGUGAGGCACUGAAGCUACCAAAAAAGGGUUUAGGGUUGAUUUUUCCUCCUCAAAUCAAGGCUGCUGUCGGUGAUUGAGGGAUGGGGGUUUGAUUUUGUGAAGGGAAUUACUGCAUCUUCACCUCUCUCUCUCACUUCCUCUCUCAUCUACUGAAACCAUAAUCUUCCUCUCCUCGGCACUCUUCCAUGUCUCUCGCAAGCUUUUCCUUCUCUCUGUCUUCGUCUCGCUCUCCAUCUCACUCCGGGCACUAGAUUUCCAUCCGUUUCCAUCCCCAUUUCUUUCCCUCUUUUUCUCUCCCGACUCUCUCUCACUGCCCUAUUCUCUCACGCCCGCUCAUCAUCUCACUCUGGGCAAUACAUACAUGAACUCGAUGAGAAGCCACCAUCUCUUAUCUGCAAAGCGAAGAAGAACUCGACAGAUUGUUUGUGAAGGAGGUGAAGCUUACCGAGUGCGGACUCUCCUAUGCGGUUGUUGUAAUCAUGGGUCCGCAGAGCAGCGGGAAAAGCACUUUGUUAAAUCAUUUGUUUUGGACUAAGUUUAGGGAGAUGGAUGCUUACGGUGGAAGGAGCCAAACUACAAAGGGUAUUUGGAUUGCCAGGUGUGUUGGCAUUGAGCUGUGCACGAUUGCGAUGGAUUUGGAGGGGACUGAUGGGAGGGAGAGGGGCGAGGUAGUCAGAUUGAUUUUUUUUAGGGGGUUUGUGGGGUUUUUUUUUAGAGAUUUUUCUGUGAAAGCAUUGUUGUUGUAUGAAUUUUUUUUAUUUUGGGUUUUGAUUGUUUGGUUAUGAUACGACUAAUGGGCUCGGGUGUCUUGAGAUGUUAGCUUCAAUAGAAAACAGUGCAGAAAUUGAAGGAGAUAAGGAAAGAAGAAUAAGGGAAAAAGUAGAAAGUUUCAUUCAGUCAUUCAUUCCUCCUCUCAGUCCACAAUAUUACAUAUUACUUUAGUCUAAAGAAGGCAUGGAAAUGGCACUGUAGAAAUGAACAGUGUUUUCAACUUAUUUACAAAUCUACCAGCCUCUCUCUGCUGCUAAUCUUGAUGUACAUGUGUUGAUGAUCGGGGGAAGGGAAGAACAAUGGUAAAACCGCCCUUUUCCAUUUCCUUUUCAAACCCUCCUUGCCUCUUCCGUCUUGCAGACCCCGCGAGAACGACGCAGACGGUCUCGCCUCCGUCCUAUCCUCCUCUCGCCGCCGUCUCCCUUCUCUCGCCUGUGUCGUCUUACUCCACCUUUUGUGUCAGGAAGGCCCAUGCGUGGUUUUUUGGGGUGGGGAUUUCAGAUUUCAAGAGGCGAGAGAGGCUGUGCUUCGUUUCGGUCGGGUCGGGCCGAGCCUUUAUGAUUCGAUUAGAUCGAGGUGAUGGGGACAACACGAGGGGUUGAGGUGGCGUCAGGAAGGACGAGGUUGAUGGUAAGAUUGUUGUGGCUGGUAUUUCAACAACUUGGGCUCUUGAAAGUGAGCAUGCAUCUACGCAUUUGCAUGAAUGGAUUGAUCUCAUAUUCGGGUAUAAGCAGCGUGGCAAAGAAGCUAUAAUGGCAAAUAAUUUUUUCUUUUACAUUACCUAUGAAGGGACAGUGGAUAUUGAUAAGAUCUCAGACCCAGUACAACAGCGUGCAACACAGGACCAGAUUGCAUACUUCGGGCAAACGCCAUCCCAACUGCUUACCUUCCCUCACUUGAAGAGGUUGCUAUUAGCAGAUGUUCUUCAUUUACAGUGGAAUGUGUCGUUGCUGUAACACGAAACCCAGCUUUUGGCUAUCCGCUGGCAUCUCUCUGAAGGUGUACUAUCUUAUGUGGAAUUGGGAUGAAAUUUUUAGCAUGGGGAUUGGUUAAUGGUAUCUAACAUACUGCUAAGGCCGCUCCAUCAUCUGCUAGCUUGAGAAGUGAUGAAAGCGCCGAGAAAAGAGAGAAAUUGGCCGCAAAAUCCAAUGCGAAAGUAACAGAGAGCACACUCCCAACCAAAGUCAAAGAAUUAUUGGCGAGAGUAUCAAAAAAGCAGCGGUUGUGAAUCCAAUCGAAUCUGAUAAGGUUCUGAAAGCAACCCAAGAACAUGGCGUCGGAACUGCGGUCCAGUGGCUGUAUAGAAGAAAAGGACAACGCAUGCUCUCUCUCUCUCUCUCUCUCUCUCUCUCAUAGUAGCUCUGUGUUCCUCUCCCCCCAAACCUAAUGGAUUCGGCCCAAUUCGGAGCUCCAGUUGUCGAUGAAUUUUACGGACUUCCUUUGUAAUCCUUGCUGCAGAAAGCAAUCUCGACACCGCUGUGGGCGAAGGAACGCCGUCAUACGAGCCCCAGAGCAUGCUACUAUUGGCUGAUGCUUGGGCUAUUGAGAAUUUUGCCUUGGUAGCAAAAUACCCGUCUGGCCAAAUUGUAGAUUAAUAUCAGAUUUGGUGGUCGUUAUUGUAUCUGUAACCUGUGGUGGCAUUGCCUUUGCUUGCGCUGGACAACUGGUCUGAUACAUACAUUCAUAAAUACAUACCCGUGUACAUAUAUUUCCAAACUUAAUAGAGAAAACUUAAUGCUAUGAUCUUACAUAAUGUUCAUAUUCUUCUUCCUUCAUACCAAAACUAGACAGGUUAUUAGUGAAUCCAUUAUGGACCUGGAGGUUUCAACUUCGUCAGUGAAAUGGUUCAAGCCCUUUCAGCCAAAGGGUUCUUCUGACCUUGGAGGAGAAGAAAGUGCCCUACAAAUUGCACUUAAUCAAUCUCAGCGACAAACCCAGUGCUCAAGCUAGGAGCAAGUCCGGUAUCCAAGCUAUACCUUCAUUGCAUGUAGUACAGAGACAGAAGCAUGUAAGUCGUUCCUCUUGGUACAGAGACAGAAGCUAUACAAAGGCUCUUGAUUGUUCCUAAUGGUUUUCUCUUGCCUAAUAAUCAGGUGAACAAAAAGGUUUAUGUGGAUUUACGUGUUGGUGAUGUCAUCCGUUUUGGGCUAAAAGAAGACAAAGGAUAAGCACAAAAGUAAACAUCACAAAGGCGAUCACAUCUUUCCUUUCUGAAACAAGGUAGCUGUUUUAGCUCAUCACAAACUUAUAGCUCUGCAAUUACUCUGCUUGCUUGGAAAUUAUGUUCCUUUUUAUGCUCUUUGUUGCCCAAACUGUGUCAUGCUGCCGAGGUAGCAACAGUGGACUCUGUAUUGUCUCAAGAUGGCUGGCUACUGAGGUGAGCAUACAAGUCCAUAUAUAAGAAGCUGAAGCUCGCUAGGAAAUCGAUGGGGUCGAAAAUACCAAGUCCUCCGCCCAUUCCACAAGUUAGCAAAGUCCUCUCAGGUCCAGAGAGACUAAGAAGAAUUUUACCCUAACAGUGGCCAUAGCCAAGCAGAGUCACCAAGUCGGUGCAUCGAACUCGUGAACUCCCAUAUUUUUCUUGUAUUUAAUAAAUAUAACUCUAGGACUCCCACUAUGUACGAGUCUUGAUUUCUUGAAUCAGUUUGUUUAUAGGUUUUUAAUAGUUGUUGCGAAUAUCUCGAAAUUUCAAGAUCUUAGUGCUUCUUCAUUGCAGUCUGCUCAUGACCUCAUAAAAUCAAGCGUUUUAAGGCAAUGAAAAAGCACCAAGAUCUUGGAAACCUCGUUUUACGCAAUAACUAUUUUGCAGACGUUGUUGUAUUACUCAUAUCAUUGUCAUUAAGGAUGUCAUUUUAGUUCUAUGCUUUAAAUGAGA